AGAGCUUGAUCCUGGCUCAGGAUGAACGCUAGCGACAGGCUUAACACAUGCAAGUCGAGGGGCAGCACAGGUAGCAAUACCGGGUGGCGACCGGCGCACGGGUGAGUAACGCGUAUGCAACUUGCCUAUCAGAGGGGGAUAACCCGGCGAAAGUCGGACUAAUACCGCAUGAAGCAGGGAUCCCGCAUGGGAAUAUUUGCUAAAGAUUCAUCGCUGAUAGAUAGGCAUGCGUUCCAUUAGGCAGUUGGCGGGGUAACGGCCCACCAAACCGACGAUGGAUAGGGGUUCUGAGAGGAAGGUCCCCCACAUUGGUACUGAGACACGGACCAAACUCCUACGGGAGGCAGCAGUGAGGAAUAUUGGUCAAUGGCCGAGAGGCUGAACCAGCCAAGUCGCGUGAGGGAUGAAGGUUCUAUGGAUCGUAAACCUCUUUUAUAAGGGAAUAAAGUGCGGGACGUGUCCCGUUUUGUAUGUACCUUAUGAAUAAGGAUCGGCUAACUCCGUGCCAGCAGCCGCGGUAAUACGGAGGAUCCGAGCGUUAUCCGGAUUUAUUGGGUUUAAAGGGUGCGUAGGCGGCCUUUUAAGUCAGCGGUGAAAGUCUGUGGCUCAACCAUAGAAUUGCCGUUGAAACUGGGGGGCUUGAGUAUGUUUGAGGCAGGCGGAAUGCGUGGUGUAGCGGUGAAAUGCAUAGAUAUCACGCAGAACCCCGAUUGCGAAGGCAGCCUGCCAAGCCAUUACUGACGCUGAUGCACGAAAGCGUGGGGAUCAAACAGGAUUAGAUACCCUGGUAGUCCACGCAGUAAACGAUGAUCACUAGCUGUUUGCGAUACACUGUAAGCGGCACAGCGGAAGCGUUAAGUGAUCCACCUGGGGAGUACGCCGGCAACGGUGAAACUCAAAGGAAUUGACGGGGGCCCGCACAAGCGGAGGAACAUGUGGUUUAAUUCGAUGAUACGCGAGGAACCUUACCCGGGUUUGAACGCAUUCGGACCGAGGUGGAAACACCUUUUCUAGCAAUAGCCGUUUGCGAGGUGCUGCAUGGUUGUCGUCAGCUCGUGCCGUGAGGUGUCGGCUUAAGUGCCAUAACGAGCGCAACCCUUGCCACUAGUUACUAACAGGUAAAGCUGAGGACUCUGGUGGGACUGCCAGCGUAAGCUGCGAGGAAGGCGGGGAUGACGUCAAAUCAGCACGGCCCUUACAUCCGGGGCGACACACGUGUUACAAUGGCGUGGACAAAGGGAAGCCACCUGGCGACAGGGAGCGAAUCCCCAAACCACGUCUCAGUUCGGAUCGGAGUCUGCAACCCGACUCCGUGAAGCUGGAUUCGCUAGUAAUCGCGCAUCAGCCAUGGCGCGGUGAAUACGUUCCCGGGCCUUGUACACACCGCCCGUCAAUCCAUGGGAGCCGGGGGUACCUGAAGUCCGUAACCGCGAGGAUCGGCCUAGGGUAAAACUGGUGACUGGGGCUAAGUCGGAACAAGGUA
This 1483-nucleotide ribosomal RNA is filed under the name metagenome. Its description in RNAcentral is "bacterial SSU rRNA". It matches the Rfam family "Bacterial small subunit ribosomal RNA". The record is from RNAcentral.